AGACCCGAAACCCGGUGAUCUAGCCAUGGGCAGGUUGAAGGUUGGGUAACACUAACUGGAGGACCGAACCGACUAAUGUUGAAAAAUUAGCGGAUGACCUGUGGCUGGGGGUGAAAGGCCAAUCAAACCGGGAGAUAGCUGGUUCUCCCCGAAAGCUAUUUAGGUAGCGCCUCGUGAAUUCAUCUCCGGGGGUAGAGCACUGUUUCGGCUAGGGGGCCAUCCCGGCUUACCAACCCGAUGCAAACUGCGAAUACCGGAGAAUGUUAUCACGGGAGACACACGGCGGGUGCUAACGUCCGUCGUGAAGAGGGAAACAACCCAGACCGCCAGCUAAGGUCCCAAAGUCAUGGUUAAGUGGGAAACGAUGUGGGAAGGCCCAGACAGCCAGGAUGUUGGCUUAGAAGCAGCCAUCAUUUAAAGAAAGCGUAAUAGCUCACUGGUCGAGUCGGCCUGCGCGGAAGAUGUAACGGGGCUAAACCAUGCACCGAAGCUGCGGCAGCGACACUCAGGUGUUGUUGGGUAGGGGAGCGUUCUGUAAGCCUGUGAAGGUGGCCUGUGAGGGUUGCUGGAGGUAUCAGAAGU
RNAcentral lists this ribosomal RNA (582 nucleotides) under Salmonella enterica. RNAcentral describes it as "partial 23S ribosomal RNA". It matches the Rfam family "Bacterial large subunit ribosomal RNA", at positions 711 to 1289 of the family's 2925-position model. RNAcentral also lists the same sequence under 3 other names. The record is from RNAcentral. Lineage: Bacteria; Pseudomonadati; Pseudomonadota; Gammaproteobacteria; Enterobacterales; Enterobacteriaceae.